GACCGUUCAUGAGUUAGUUACUAUGCAUUCCAUUUUCCUAUAAAUAGAAGCUCAUUCCUUCAUUAUUUUCUUACGAAUUCACUGAACUCUAGAGAGAGAAACUAUAGAGAGAUAGAAGAAAAGCUUUCUGCUACUUAACUUUCUUUUCCUAUAUCCAGUUUCUGUUACGGUAAGGGAUAUUAUUCUUUUAUAUUCAUGAAGAGAACUGUUGUUAUU
This 216-nucleotide long non-coding RNA is filed under the name Panax ginseng (ginseng). Its description in RNAcentral is "long non-coding RNA (PGIN_LNC009597)". Lineage: Eukaryota; Viridiplantae; Streptophyta; Magnoliopsida; Apiales; Araliaceae. The record is from RNAcentral.